Molecule: microRNA precursor, 80 nt
Organism: Aotus nancymaae (Ma's night monkey)
Lineage: Eukaryota; Metazoa; Chordata; Mammalia; Primates; Aotidae
Source: Ensembl
AAUGAAGGAUUACGGACCAGCUAAGGGAGGCAUUAGGAUCCCUUUUCUUGCCUCCCUUAACUGGUCCCUAAUUCUUCGUU